AGAAAGGGCCAUAACUCAGAGGAAGAGCAUCUGUCUUGCCCACAGAAGGUCCCAAGUUCAAUCCUUGGUCUCUCGA
This is a non-coding RNA of Podarcis lilfordi (Lilford's wall lizard), 76 nucleotides long. The record is from the annotation of a GenBank genome assembly. Lineage: Eukaryota; Metazoa; Chordata; Lepidosauria; Squamata; Lacertidae.